AGUGAACGCUGGCGGUAGGCCUAACACUUGCAAGUCGAACGGCAGCACAGUAAGAGCUUGCUCUUACGGGUGGCGAGUGGCGGACGGGUGAGGAAUACAUCGGAAUCUACUUUUUCGUGGGGGAUAACGUAGGGAAACUUACGCUAAUACCGCAUACGACCUACGGGUGAAAGCAGGGGAUCUUCGGACCUUGCGCGAUUGAAUGGGCCGAUGUCGGAUUAGCUAGUUGGCGGGGUAAAGGCCCACCAAGGCGACGAUCCGUAGCUGGUCUGAGAGGAUGAUCAGCCACACUGGAACUGAGACACGGUCCAGACUCCUACGGGAGGCAGCAGUGGGGAAUAUUGGACAAUGGGCGCAAGCCUGAUCCAGCCAUACCGCGUGGGUGAAGAAGGCCUUCGGGUUGUAAAGCCCUUUUGUUGGGAAAGAAAAGCAGCAGGUUAAUACCCCGCUGUUCUGACGGUACCCAAAGAAUAAGCACCGGCUAACUUCGUG
Molecule: ribosomal RNA, 492 nt
Filed under: uncultured bacterium
Lineage: Bacteria
Description: partial 16S ribosomal RNA
Rfam family: Bacterial small subunit ribosomal RNA
Source: RNAcentral